This 562-nucleotide ribosomal RNA is filed under the name Vishniacozyma carnescens. RNAcentral's name for it is "partial large subunit ribosomal RNA". It matches the Rfam family "Eukaryotic large subunit ribosomal RNA", at positions 103 to 655 of the family's 3401-position model. The record is from RNAcentral. Lineage: Eukaryota; Fungi; Basidiomycota; Tremellomycetes; Tremellales; Bulleribasidiaceae.
AUGAGCUCAAAUUUGAAAUCUGGCGUCUUUCAGGCGUCCGAGUUGUAAUCUAUAGAGGCGUUUUCCGCGCCGGACCGCGUCCAAGUCUCUUGGAAUAGAGUAUCAAAGAGGGUGACAAUCCCGUACUUGACGCGACAACCGGUGCUCUGUGAUACGUUCUCAAUGAGUCGAGUUGUUUGGGAAUGCAGCUCUAAAUGGGUGGUAAAUUCCAUCUAAGGCUAAAUAUUGGCGAGAGACCGAUAGCGAACAAGUACCGUGAGGGAAAGAUGAAAAGCACUUUGGAAAGAGAGUUAAACAGCACGUGAAAUUGUUAAAAGGGAAACGAUUGAAGUCAGUCGUGUGGGAAGUAUUCAGCCGUCUCUGGCGGUGUAUUUGCUUCUCACGGGUCAACAUCAGUUUGAUCCGGUAGAAAAAGGCGGGAAGAAGGUGGCACCCUCGGGUGUGUUAUAGCUUCCUGUCAUAUGUGCCGGACCAGACUGAGGAACGCAGCUUGCAGCAAUGCCGGGGUUCGCCCACGUACAAGCUUAGGAUGUUGACAUAAUGGCUUUAAACGACCCGUCUU